Molecule: ribosomal RNA, 262 nt
Filed under: uncultured bacterium
Lineage: Bacteria
Description: partial 16S ribosomal RNA
Rfam family: Bacterial small subunit ribosomal RNA
Source: RNAcentral
GUCCACGCCCUAAACGAUGGGUACUAAGUGUCGGCGGGUUACCGCCGGUGCCGCACCUAACGGAGUAAGUACCCCGCCUGGGGAGUACGGCCGCAAGGUUGAAACUCAAAGGAAUUGACGGGGGCCCGCACAAGCGGUGGUGCAUGUGGUUCAAUUCGACGCAACGCGAAAACCUUACCCAGGCUUGACAUGUUCGUGGUAAGAACCGGAAACGGGGAUGACCCUGAAAGGGGAGCGAGCACAGGUGCUGCAUGGCUGUCGU